AUUCUUAGAUACCUUAAAAUGCUGUCUACUAAGAUACCUUAUUCUGACCCUGUAAUAAGAGAGCAUUAGACCCUUCCUCAGCCGGUAAGGCAAUCCCAUGAUGCAGCGCGGGGCAGCACAGCGUAGCUCAACUUCUUCCAUCAUGGCGGACGGAAGUGGAUCGGCCAGCGGCGAAGUCAUUUUCAAAUGUAAGUUAUUUAAGUUUUUAUAGCGUAAGUAUGGUGUUUCAUGAGUUUUCUUGGCAUAAAAUAACAUAAAUUAGCGUUUUAUUUGUAGUUUUGGUUAGUUGGUGGCCGUUUUCCAGUUUUUUAUAUAUCGAGGUGUUAGCAUUUAUGCUAGCGGGUUUUGAAGCGCCAGUGCAUUGUUUUAGAUGGGCUGAUGCUAACUAGCCUGUUAGCUCAAUAGCUAAGUAACCUCACUGGCGAUAUUCAGCGCUUUUUUAUCAGUCGCCGUAAAAUUUUAUUAGUUAACUCAGUUAACCCUUUCUUUAUAGUUAGUUAGACCUGUCGGGUUUAUACAAUCUGUAUGUGGGCUGUUUAACGUGAUAGCCAGUGUUCAGAUAUACAAAUUACUUCCACUCUUUUAGGGACCAGAUCAGCAAUAGAAGCCUUUAUAAAGGCUCGCAUAGAGAAGGAGAGGCUCUUCACUGGGGAGAAAAACUCCGCUCUCUCAGCUUGGAAGACUAUUCUUCUGGAAUUGGGGCUUGCGGACAAAGUUAUGCCCCAACAAGCCAGAAAAAAAUGGGACAAUCUAAAAAAAAGUACAAAGCUGAACAACAUCUCCCGCUGCCAUGCAGAUGUUGUGCAGAGUGACACAGGCAGCAAUCACCUCUGGCACAAACCUUGGAUUUACCUCUUGGGCAUGCAGGAAAAUUGACCUCCAUCUGGUCUUCAGCAUCCCAAAAGCACGUUCAAUUAUAGAACGUGCCCUUGCAUGAUGCCUAUUGAAGGCCACCCUCUCUUCUCCUCUGACAGGCUUCUUGAAUGGAGUGAUGAGGGCUAUGGGCUAAGAGAUGCAUGGGUACCCACCAUCACCAAGUAUCAUGUAGCCUCUGGGUGGGAAAGUGGCCUGCCGAUACAGAAUGCUGUGACAGAGCACCCGUGCAUCAUGUACUGAGCCAGGAAAGCCAAUAAAAACAUCCAGAAACGUUGCCUGGUGGUCACAGACAGCCUGAAAUUGCACAGAUGGGUAGAGCUUCCGGUUUCUGUAGCACUGUGCAUCAGGUUCUCCAGGGGCUUUGAUUCGCACAUGACACCCAUCUAUGGCACCCACUACAGAGUGAAAAGCUGUAUGGUUUCCCAGCCACACGAAGCCAUCAGAGAUGCUCUGCAGUUCUUCGGGUUUUGGGUGCCGGAUUACUUUGGGUAGGAUUUGCCGCAUUUCACUGGCCACUCUGUGAAUUACACGGUGCACUGUAGAACGGGGCAUAGCAAAAGCACGGGAAACAACGCGGUAUGAUGUGCCACAGGCCAACCAAAAAAGAAAAACUAACACCUCAAUGGUCCCCCCCCAACCAUGGGUGCCUUCGUGCUUGAUAAGUUGAAAAAGCACUU
Molecule: long non-coding RNA, 1553 nt
Organism: Astyanax mexicanus (Mexican tetra)
Lineage: Eukaryota; Metazoa; Chordata; Actinopteri; Characiformes; Acestrorhamphidae
Exons: 3
Source: RefSeq, a predicted model, not a curated record